This 857-nucleotide long non-coding RNA is filed under the name Nicotiana benthamiana. RNAcentral describes it as "long non-coding RNA (NBEN_LNC030165)". The record is from RNAcentral. Lineage: Eukaryota; Viridiplantae; Streptophyta; Magnoliopsida; Solanales; Solanaceae.
CGGACAUGAUCUCAUUGUUGAUUCUGAACUGGAGCUCAACUAUGGAAGGUAAAACUUGUUAAUUUCUUGUAUUAUUGUGUAUCUUAGUUGAUGUUAAAGUUCUGACCUCUUAUUUUGCAGACGUUAUGGAUUGCUGGGACUGAAUGGCUGCGGGAAAUCUACACUUCUUAGUUGAUGUUAAAGUUCUGACCUCUUAUUUUUGCAGACGUUAUGGGUUGCUGGGACUGAAUGGCUGCGGGAAAUCUACUCUUCUUACCGCUAUAGGGCUGCGGGAACUUCCCAUCCCAGAGCACAUGGAUAUUUUUCAUCUUUCACGGGAGAUUGAUGCCUCUGACAUGUCUGCUCUUGAGGCCGUCAUUAAUUGUGAUGAAGAGAGGUUGAAAUUGGAGAAAGAAGCUGAAGCUUUAGCUGGACAGGUAUAAUGCUGUUAACAUUAAAUUAAUGCUCCACGGUUUUGGUUUUCUUUGGAUAAUAUGGUUAGUUUCGUUUGUGUUGUAGGAUGAUGGUGGUGGAGAGCAACUUGAACGGAUCUAUGAGCGUUUAGAAGCUAUGGAUGCAGCCACUGCUGAGAAGCGUGCUGCUGAGAUCUUGUUUGGUCUUGGAUUUGAUAAGAAAAUGCAAGCAAAGAAAACAUGUGAUUUCUCCGGUGGCUGGAGAAUGAGGAUUUCUCUUGCGCGAGCCCUAUUUAUGAAUCCAACAAUUUUGUUGCUUGAUGAACCAACAAACCAUCUUGGUAAUCUUCGCUUUACAUUUUCUAGCAUAGUAGAUCUUUCCUCAACUGUUAGGGUUUUGCCCUUGCUAGAUUUAUAUGAACAAUGUGUAGUUCUGUAUGAUGGCUCUUUUAGAGUUGACAUGUG